UCUAUAAUGCAGUCGACGAACUCUGGUAUUGAUUGGUGCUUGCAUCAUGAUUUACAUUUGAGUGAGUGGCGAACUGGUGAGUAACACGUGGGAAACCUGCCCAGAAGCGGGGGAUAACACCUGGAAACAGAUGCUAAUACCGCAUAACAACUUGGACCGCAUGGUCCGAGUUUGAAAGAUGGCUUCGGCUAUCACUUUUGGAUGGUCCCGCGGCGUAUUAGCUAGAUGGUGGGGUAACGGCUCACCAUGGCAAUGAUACGUAGCCGACCUGAGAGGGUAAUCGGCCACAUUGGGACUGAGACACGGCCCAAACUCCUACGGGAGGCAGCAGUAGGGAAUCUUCCACAAUGGACGAAAGUCUGAUGGAGCAACGCCGCGUGAGUGAAGAAGGGUUUCGGCUCGUAAAACUCUGUUGUUAAAGAAGAACAUAUCUGAGAGUAACUGUUCAGGUAUUGACGGUAUUUAACCAGAAAGCCACGGCUAACUACGUGCCAGCAGCCGCGGUAAUACGUAGGUGGCAAGCGUUGUCCGGAUUUAUUGGGCGUAAAGCGAGCGCAGGCGGUUUUUUAAGUCUGAUGUGAAAGCCUUCGGCUCAACCGAAGAAGUGCAUCGGAAACUGGGAAACUUGAGUGCAGAAGAGGACAGUGGAACUCCAUGUGUAGCGGUGAAAUGCGUAGAUAUAUGGAAGAACACCAGUGGCGAAGGCGGCUGUCUGGUCUGUAACUGACGCUGAGGCUCGAAAGUAUGGGUAGCAAACAGGAUUAGAUACCCUGGUAGUCCAUACCGUAAACGAUGAAUGCUAAGUGUUGGAGGGUUUCCGCCCUUCAGUGCUGCAGCUAACGCAUUAAGCAUUCCGCCUGGGGAG
RNAcentral lists this ribosomal RNA (865 nucleotides) under Lactiplantibacillus plantarum. Its description in RNAcentral is "bacterial SSU rRNA". It matches the Rfam family "Bacterial small subunit ribosomal RNA", at positions 48 to 880 of the family's 1533-position model. Lineage: Bacteria; Bacillati; Bacillota; Bacilli; Lactobacillales; Lactobacillaceae. The record is from RNAcentral.